CCAGCAGCCGCGGUAAUUCCAGCUCCAAUAGCGUAUAUUAAAGUUGUUGCAGUUAAAACGCUCGUAGUCUGAUGUAAUGGGGACUGGAGUGGGGAGCAGCGAUGCUCUUUGCUUUGGUCCUCAUCAGGGGGACAGCAAUGUCCCAGUUUACUUUGAGAAAAUUAGAGUGUUCAAAGCAGGCAUAACCCAGCCUUGAAUAUUGCAGCUUGGGAUAAUGAAACAGGACGAGAGUUCUAUUUUGUUGGUUUCUAGGGCUUUUGUAAUGAUUAAAAGGGACAGUUGGGGGCAUUAGUAUUCAGUUGUCAGAGGUGAAAUUCUAGGAUUUACUGAAGACUAACUACUGCGAAAGC
This 350-nucleotide ribosomal RNA is filed under the name uncultured eukaryote. RNAcentral describes it as "SSU rRNA". It matches the Rfam family "Eukaryotic small subunit ribosomal RNA", at positions 567 to 952 of the family's 1831-position model. The record is from RNAcentral.